Molecule: long non-coding RNA, 228 nt
Organism: Juglans regia (Persian walnut)
Lineage: Eukaryota; Viridiplantae; Streptophyta; Magnoliopsida; Fagales; Juglandaceae
Exons: 3
Source: RefSeq, a predicted model, not a curated record
CUGGAUUCGAAGCCAAUCGGAGCGGCGCGUUGCGCCGACGCGCGGUUUAAAGGAAACGCGUGGGGUUCCCAAACCACCGCGAUUCAUCUUCAUUUUUGUGUCAGUGCUGUGUGGGUUGUGUAUCAGGGUCCCCGUGGCCGACUUUCUUCAAGCUUACCCAAGAAGGAUAAGGAUCCAUUGAAACCCAAGCAUCCAAUGUCAGCAUUCUUCUUAGUCACAAACAGUAGC